This is a long non-coding RNA of Paramormyrops kingsleyae, 2777 nucleotides long. RefSeq lists it as uncharacterized. The record is from RefSeq and is a predicted model, not a curated record. NCBI's taxonomy places the organism in Eukaryota, Metazoa, Chordata, Actinopteri, Osteoglossiformes, Mormyridae.
GUACUGUAAUACACCAAUGCUAAAUCCGUAGCACAUUUGCUCCUAAAUCUGGAGCACAUUUGUUCGAAGAAUAUGACCAUAAUGGUCAUAAUUGCCAUCUUAAGAUACUGGAUGGUCCACCUGCAGUGCUUUUGUAAGGUGGAUCACUGUUGAACAUCCAUUGGCUGGUUGAAGUUCAAUCUGAUGAGGUCUGCAGAGAAGCUCAUUCCACUCUCCCUAUUAAUGUACAGAACUUCACCUGACUGAACCCCUUUCAGGUGUAACUCCGCUUUUAAACACACGGCCGUCCCACAUUAUGCUGGGCCCCUGGCUUCCUGUUUCCGUGAAGAAGCAGCACCUUGCUCACAGGGAGAGAGACAAUGCAGCUCUGCUAGGUUCCUCUGCCCCCUGCAUGGCCAGCCUGCCAUUCAUUGUUAUGCAAUGAAUCUGGGAGAAACAAAAGGUUGGAUGGGCUUUGUGGACCCCAGGAUGAGAUUAUUAUUAACAUGCCUGGGAAUUACAGUGCCUGGGUCCCUUUGUCGCUCAUUGAUUUGACUGAACCUUUUAUAAAAUCAAGGUGCACGGCCACAUGCUGUUACAAUGAAAAUGCAGAGUGUGUGUGUGUGUGUGUGUGUGUGUGUGUGUGUGUGCGUAUCAGAAAGCGACGUCAAACCCUGUAAGUGAGUUUGUAUAAACUAAUCUGUAGAUAUUUGUACUGGUUUGGGAUCUCUCUUUUUUAAGAUUUGUGACUGAGCAGUGGUUCACCAGUUUUGGAAAACGCAGCUGGUCCUUAUAUAUUCUUAUUAUGAAUAUUGAUGUUUUGAUUUUCAGCUGUUUCUUAGCCAUUUGUAAUAAUAACCUAAUGGGGUGAGAUCACAUUUACAUUUUUGAGCACUUGCAUUUAUUUUAUUUUUUUGCAGACUCUUUUAUCCAAAACAUUGUACAAUCGAGAAAUUGGUCCCUGGAGCAGUUCAAUUCCAAAUAAUUUUUCUACCAAAUGUAUCACUACACAAUCAAAUGUACUACAGAGUUUUAUAUGUAAUUAAAAGAGUUACAGUUAAAGUAUUUUUGACAUUUAUUCAUUUUGUACUUGUGAGCUAGCUAUACCGGAGGAAUUGUUUUUAAUACAUUUUAAUAUAUUAAUAUAGGUGCACAGAGAAUGUUGGGCCACGGCCCCAAAGCUCAGGAGAGGGACAGUUUCUCUAAGUUAAGUUAAAUCAUUAAGGGAAUCUUCAACGUCCAUUAAUCACAUCUCCAUGUCUCUUCUUUAGAGACGUGGAGAAAAUAGAUUGAGCUGUGCAAAGAGUCUGCUGAGAGCUUGUUCUUUUAUUUUAUUUAACGUUUUAUUCCAUAGGUUUCACAACAACAGCAACAACAACAAAAGCAACGGCAGCAAUAAAUAAUAAUAAUAAUAAUAGCCACCCGAAGAGCACUUGCUGGCCAUGCUAGCGUAAUUAGAUGUGCAGCAUGUGGGAGGGAUGUGGCGGGCAGCGAUGUGGCCCACAUGAGGUGCCGUGUAUUUCAUGGACAGGAAGCUGAGCGGCUGGUCCGGCCAUUUGAACGACAGCUGCUCUGAACGGCCGAGGACAAGCAGAUGGAGAUGCAGCUGAGAACGGAACUUAAUUGUUUAGAGUCACCUGUGCAGCUCAGACUUCAGCUCCAGAGUGACCUCAGCGUCAGCACACAAGGUGGUCGAGGCGGAGAACUUAUGCAGGAGUGUUUUUUACCACAACACGUGCCUGCGCAUAAACUGUGUACCGAUGUGAUAUAAGUUUAAGGGUGGUAUAUUCAUUUCUGAACACAAUAUUGGUUUCAUUCAUUUAUGCCAUAUCAAGCCAUGUGCAGUCUUUGUAUUUUCCUUUGUUAAUUAUUGCUUUGCAAAACCUACCACUUUGUGAGGUGCAGAGGGGAACAACAAGCAUUCAAUAAAUCAUUCAACUGCAGUUAAAAUCAAUGAAUAUGUAACAUUGUCUCACAUUACCCAAUGCAACAAAGUAAAAAUACCAAAGAAGCUUUACAUUAUAGCUAAUUCCAUUUUUAAUAAUUUUUCUACUGUUUGUCACGUUUCCCUUGGAGGGCUGCUGUUUCAUGCUUGAAAAUUUAUUUUGUCUGAAAAUAUCUAGUAAUGGUGUAAUUUAUUAUGUCAAAAAAGUAGAUUUUGAUUUGGUCAUUUUGAAGCAGAUCCUACUACCACUGCACUUAUUUGAACAUUCGGAAAUCGAAGAGGCAAUUCCGGGGAUAUCACUGUCCUUCUGAGCAGUACAGAAUGGAUUCUGUGAAUCACACCGGCAAGGAGAAUCCCCCAGAAGAGGAAUCUGUGGGUGGGACUGAGCUCCACAGAGAAGCCAGUCUAAAUGUUAAUUUCAGCACAUGUGUGAAUUUUGUUGUUUUGUAUCCAUCUCAUAAUUUUCCUAAUGAAUAGCAAAGUAGCUUUCCCACAGACUGUAGCCCAAUAUGUGUGCUUCACAUGGUUAAUAAAUUGCGUCGCUUGCUUUCCCUUAUAGCUGUAUCUGAUUUAAUUGUGUCGCAGGAACAAGACAUGCAACAGCUAUCUGUCCAAUGAUCUGCUGAGACCCCACCCACUGAGAAGGGAACUAUGAAAACUAUCCAGUUUCCAUGGAAAUGGAACACUAGCUUAGUUUAUUUUUGUGUUCGUCAGGAGGCAGAGAAAUGGGGUGCAUUCUCUCAACUCACUUGGCCGAGUAAUGAGAGCAAUUCAGUGAAAUUUAGUGCCAGAUAGUUCCAGGAUUAAAAAGCCAAACAACUGACUGAAAUGUGAAUCAGAUGUGGGAUAACAG